RNAcentral lists this ribosomal RNA (425 nucleotides) under unidentified eubacterium K112. RNAcentral's name for it is "bacterial SSU rRNA". It matches the Rfam family "Bacterial small subunit ribosomal RNA", at positions 67 to 488 of the family's 1533-position model. The record is from RNAcentral.
CGGGAUUGGAGAGCUUGCUUUCUCAUGAGAGUGGCGCACGGGUGCGUAACACGUAUGUAACCUACCCUUAUCAGGGGGAUAGCCUCUCGAAAGAGAGAUUAAGCCCGCAUAACAUGAAGACACAGCAUUGUGAUUUCAUCAAAUAUUUAUAGGAUAAGGAUGGGCAUGCGGAACAUUAGCUAGUUGGUAAGGUAAUGGCUUACCAAGGCUACGAUGUUUAGGGGAUCUGAGAGGAUGACCCCCCACACUGGUACUGAGACACGGACCAGACUCCUACGGGAGGCAGCAGUAAGGAAUAUUGGUCAAUGGGCGCAAGCCUGAACCAGCCAUGCCGCGUGCAGGAAGACGGCCCUACGGGUUGUAAACUGCUUUUGUACCGGAAUAAACCUCAUUAUGUAUAAUGAGCUGAAUGUACGGUAAGAAUA